This 1197-nucleotide ribosomal RNA is filed under the name Escherichia coli. Its description in RNAcentral is "partial 23S ribosomal RNA". It matches the Rfam family "Bacterial large subunit ribosomal RNA", at positions 1 to 1238 of the family's 2925-position model. Lineage: Bacteria; Pseudomonadati; Pseudomonadota; Gammaproteobacteria; Enterobacterales; Enterobacteriaceae. The record is from RNAcentral.
GAGGUUAAGCGACUAAGCGUACACGGUGGAUGCCCUGGCAGUCAGAGGCGAUGAAGGACGUGCUAAUCUGCGAUAAGCGUCGGUGAGGUGAUAUGAACCGUUAUAACCGGCGAUUUCCGAAUGGGGAAACCCAGUGUGUUUCGACACACUAUCAUUAACUGAAUCCAUAGGUUAAUGAGGCGAACCGGGGGAACUGAAACAUCUAAGUACCCCGAGGAAAAGAAAUCAACCGAGAUUCCCCCAGUAGCGGCGAGCGAACGGGGAGGAGCCCAGAGCCUGAAUCAGUGUGUGUGUUAGUGGAAGCGUCUGGAAAGGCGCGCGAUACAGGGUGACAGCCCCGUACACAAAAAUGCACAUAUUGUGAGCUCGAUGAGUAGGGCGGGACACGUGGUAUCCUGUCUGAAUAUGGGGGGACCAUCCUCCAAGGCUAAAUACUCCUGACUGACCGAUAGUGAACCAGUACCGUGAGGGAAAGGCGAAAAGAACCCCGGCGAGGGGAGUGAAAAAGAACCUGAAACCGUGUACGUACAAGCAGUGGGAGCCUCUUAAUGGGGUGACUGCGUACCUUUUGUAUAAUGGGUCAGCGACUUAUAUUCUGUAGCAAGGUUAACCGAAUAGGGGAGCCGAAGGGAAACCGAGUCUUAACUGGGCGUUAAGUUGCAGGGUAUAGACCCGAAACCCGGUGAUCUAGCCAUGGGCAGGUUGAAGGUUGGGUAACACUAACUGGAGGACCGAACCGACUAAUGUUGAAAAAUUAGCGGAUGACUUGUGGCUGGGGGUGAAAGGCCAAUCAAACCGGGAGAUAGCUGGUUCUCCCCGAAAGCUAUUUAGGUAGCGCCUCGUGAAUUCAUCUCCGGGGGUAGAGCACUGUUUCGGCAAGGGGGUCAUCCCGACUUACCAACCCGAUGCAAACUGCGAAUACCGGAGAAUGUUAUCACGGGAGACACACGGCGGGUGCUAACGUCCGUCGUGAAGAGGGAAACAACCCAGACCGCCAGCUAAGGUCCCAAAGUCAUGGUUAAGUGGGAAACGAUGUGGGAAGGCCCAGACAGCCAGGAUGUUGGCUUAGAAGCAGCCAUCAUUUAAAGAAAGCGUAAUAGCUCACUGGUCGAGUCGGCCUGCGCGGAAGAUGUAACGGGGCUAAACCAUGCACCGAAGCUGCGGCAGCGACACUAUGUGUUGUUGGGUAGGGGAGCG